GUGAGGAAUAUUGCGCAAUGGAGGCAACUCUGACGCAGCCAUGCCGCGUGCAGGAAGAAGGCGCUACGCGUUGUAAACUGCUUUUAACCGGGAAGAAACCCCAGGACGUGUCCUGGGUUGACGGUACCGGAGGAAUAAGCACCGGCUAACUUCGUGCCAGCAGCCGCGGUAAUACGAAGGGUGCAAGCGUUAUCCGGAUUCAUUGGGUUUAAAGGGUGCGUAGGCGGAGCGUUAAGUCAGUGGUGAAAUCCUGCAGCUUAACUGUAGACUUGCCAUUGAUAGUGGCGCUAUUGAGUGCGCUGGAAGUGGGCGGAAUGUGCCGUGUAGCGGUGAAAUGCUUAGAUAUGGCACAGAACACCAAUUGCGAAGGCAGCUCACUAAGGCGAUACUGACGCUGAGGCACGAAAGCGUGGGGAUCGAACAGGAUUAGAAACCCGUGUAGUCC
This 445-nucleotide ribosomal RNA is filed under the name uncultured bacterium. Its description in RNAcentral is "partial 16S ribosomal RNA". It matches the Rfam family "Bacterial small subunit ribosomal RNA", at positions 354 to 796 of the family's 1533-position model. The record is from RNAcentral.